This 444-nucleotide ribosomal RNA is filed under the name uncultured soil bacterium. Its description in RNAcentral is "bacterial SSU rRNA". It matches the Rfam family "Bacterial small subunit ribosomal RNA", at positions 26 to 518 of the family's 1533-position model. The record is from RNAcentral.
AGAACGAACGCUGGCGGCAGGCUUAACACAUGCAAGUCGAACGCCCCGCAAGGGGAGUGGCAGACGGGUGAGUAACACGUGGGAACAUGCCCAAAGGUACGGAAUAUCCCCGGGAAACUGGGAGCAAUACCGUAUGUGCCCGAAAGGGGAAAGAUUUAUCGCCUUUGGAUUGGCCCGCGUCGGAUUAGCUAGUUGGUGGGGUAAAAGCCUACCAAGGCGACGAUCCGUAGCUGGUCUGAGAGGACGACCAGCCACACUGGGACUGAGACACGGCCCAGACUCCUACGGAGGCAGCAGUGGGGAAUCUUGGACAAUGGGCGCAAGCCUGAUCCAGCCAUGCCGCGUGGAUGAUGAAGGCCCUAGGGUUGUAAAAUCCUUCGUUGGGGACGAUAAUGACGGUACCCAAAGAAGAAAGCUCCGGCUAACUUCGUGCCAAGCAGCCGC